This 253-nucleotide ribosomal RNA is filed under the name uncultured bacterium. RNAcentral describes it as "partial 16S ribosomal RNA". It matches the Rfam family "Bacterial small subunit ribosomal RNA", at positions 524 to 776 of the family's 1533-position model. The record is from RNAcentral.
UACGUAGGAUGCGAGCGUUGUUCGGAAUCACUGGGCGUAAAGAGUGCGUAGGCGGUUAUGUAAGCUCAAUAUUAAAGACUUUGGCUCAACCAAAGGAGUGUAUGGAGAACUGCAUAGCUAGAGGUUAGUAGGGGAUGCUGGAAUUCUCAGUGUAGCGGUGAAAUGCGUAGAUAUUGGGAAGAACACCGGAGGCGAAAGCGAGCAUCUGGGCUAAUACUGACGCUGAGGUACGAAAGCGUGGGGAGCAAACAGG